GACGAACCGAGCGAACGUUGUUCGGAAUCACUGGGCUUAAAGGGCGCGUAGGCGGGCUGUCAAGUCUGGGGUGAAAUCCCGCGGCUCAACCGUGGAACUGCCUUAGAUACUGACGGCCUUGAGGGAGAUAGGGGCGAGCGGAACUGUGAGUGGAGCGGUGAAAUGCGUUGAUAUCGAUAGGAACUCCGGUGGCGAAGGCGGCAUACUGGUCCACUUCUGACGCUGAGGCGCGAAAGCCAGGGGAGCAAACGGG
This 253-nucleotide ribosomal RNA is filed under the name uncultured bacterium. RNAcentral's name for it is "partial 16S ribosomal RNA". It matches the Rfam family "Bacterial small subunit ribosomal RNA", at positions 524 to 776 of the family's 1533-position model. The record is from RNAcentral.